AGUGAACGCUGGCGGUAUGCCUAACACAUGCAAGUCGAACGGCAGCACAGUAAGCUCUUUCUCUUACGGUUGGCUAGUGACGGACGGGUGAGGCGUACAUCGGAAUCUACUUUUUCGUGGGGGAUAACUUAGGGCAACUUACGCUACUACCUCAUACUACCUACGGGUUAACGCAUGUUAUCUUCGGACCUUGCCCGCUCUACUGAGCCGAUGUCGGAUUAGCUAGUUGGCGGGGUAAAGGACCACCAAGGCGACGAUCCGUAGCUGGUCUGAGAGGGUGAUCAGCCACACUGGAACUGAGACACGGUCCAGACUCCUACGGGAGGCAGCAGUAGGGAAUAUUGGACAAUGGGCGCAAGCCUGAUCGAGCCAUACCGCGUGAGUGAAGAAGGCCUUCGGGUUGUAAAGCCCUUUUGUUGGGAAAGAAAAGCAGCAGGUGAAGAACCCGCUGUUCUGAAGGUACCCAAAGAAGAAGCACAGGCUAAAUUAGUG
This 492-nucleotide ribosomal RNA is filed under the name uncultured bacterium. RNAcentral's name for it is "partial 16S ribosomal RNA". It matches the Rfam family "Bacterial small subunit ribosomal RNA", at positions 29 to 507 of the family's 1533-position model. The record is from RNAcentral.